Molecule: ribosomal RNA, 346 nt
Filed under: uncultured bacterium
Lineage: Bacteria
Description: bacterial SSU rRNA
Rfam family: Bacterial small subunit ribosomal RNA
Source: RNAcentral
AGAGUUUGAUCCUGGCUCAGAAUCAACGCUGGCGGCGUGCCUAACACAUGCAAGUCGAGCGCGAAAGUUUCUCUUCGGAGGGACGAGUAGAGCGGCGGACGGGUGAGUAGCACGUGGAUGAUCUGCCCUUUGGCGGGGGAUAACCCGGGGAAACCCGGGCUAAUACCGCAUAAUCCCGUAGAUUCGUUUUUACGGGGAAAGGCUUUUGUCGCCGAAGGAGGGGUCCGCGCACGAUUAGCUGGUUGGUGAGGUCAUGGCUCACCAAGGCUUCGAUCGUUAGCCGGUCUGAGAGGACGGACGGCCACACUGGGACUGAGACACGGCCCAGACUCCUACGGGAGGCAGC